UUUCCGUAGGUGAACCUGCGGAAGGAUCAUUAAAGAGAUCAUGCUCUCACGGGUAGACCUCCCACCCUUUGUUUACAAUACCUUUGUUGCUUUGGCGGGCCCGUUUGGCCCCGCGCUGAACAACCGGCCCCGGCUGGUCAGUGCCCGCCAGAGAACCGAAAACUCUGAAUUAAAUGUCGUCUGAGUACUAUGUAAUAGUUAAAACUUUCAACAACGGAUCUCUUGGUUCUG
This 231-nucleotide unclassified non-coding RNA is filed under the name plant metagenome. RNAcentral describes it as "partial contains small subunit ribosomal RNA, internal transcribed spacer 1, and 5.8S ribosomal RNA". The record is from RNAcentral.